GCACUAAAAUAAGUUUAUUCAAACACUGAUUAAUAAUUUUUGUUUUACUUAUAAGUCCAUCUUCCAGUGUAUGUAAAUACAAAACCAUCUGAGGUAAAAAUUUACAUUGUAACUCGCUUAAAUCUUUAAUAUGGGCUGCACCUUGAUCUGUCCUUUGGUAUAUGUUUACUAAUAAAAUACAUUUUAAAAAUAUUUUUGACGACGGCAUACAAACUGUUAAUUAAAGAGGAUAUUUCUUGGUGGCUAUCAAUUACUUAGUAAGUUCCCCUGUUGAUUAUUUUAGCCGCCAUAAUUUUUGAGUUUAAUAUUUUUAUUUACUACUCAAAUUAUACUUGUUCCGAUAGAGAAUAGUAGGGUAUCUAAUCCUAGUUUAAAUAUUCUAUUUUAGUAGAAUGUAAAAGAAGAAAAAUAAUUUUUAAUAGUUUUUAUUUCACUAAGUAACUAUUACUUUUGCUUCUAAUAAAGGUAUAAUUUGUAUAUACUUACUUUCUGAUAAUGGUAUGACCGCGGUUGCUGGCACCAUAUUUACCUUAGAAAAUUUAUCUAUACUAGAUUUAUAUUUAUAUAAUUAAUCUAAUCUUUCCAACUGGCAUUACACUUAAGUUUCCAUAUUUGUAUACUAAUAAUAGUAAGUUUUGUUCUAUCAAAUUAAAGUAGAAUUUCUAAAAAGGAGUUUCCCUUUUUCGG
Molecule: ribosomal RNA, 687 nt
Filed under: Schileykula nordsiecki
Lineage: Eukaryota; Metazoa; Mollusca; Gastropoda; Stylommatophora; Orculidae
Description: partial 12S ribosomal RNA
Source: RNAcentral